GAGAGUUAGUCGGGGGGCAUUACGCUGAGAUCACAAUUAAGUGGGACCCGUUGAACCUGAACCAGUUAGCACUGGCGGAGGGAACUAAAUAAACAAUAUC
This 100-nucleotide non-coding RNA is filed under the name Photobacterium angustum. Its description in RNAcentral is "Vibrio angustum TPP sequence". It matches the Rfam family "TPP riboswitch aptamer (THI element)". From Rfam's summary of the family: Vitamin B(1) in its active form thiamin pyrophosphate (TPP) is an essential coenzyme that is synthesised by coupling of pyrimidine and thiazole moieties in bacteria. The previously detected thiamin-regulatory element, thi box was extended, resulting in a new, highly conserved RNA secondary structure, the THI element, which is widely distributed in eubacteria and also occurs in some archaea. The record is from RNAcentral. Lineage: Bacteria; Pseudomonadati; Pseudomonadota; Gammaproteobacteria; Vibrionales; Vibrionaceae.